Molecule: unclassified non-coding RNA, 204 nt
Filed under: plant metagenome
Description: partial contains small subunit ribosomal RNA and internal transcribed spacer 1
Rfam family: Eukaryotic small subunit ribosomal RNA (bases 1-47)
Source: RNAcentral
AAUGUCGUAACAAGGUUUCCGUAGGUGAACCUGCGGAAGGAUCAUUUAAAUGAAGUUCGGCUUCGCGGCCCAAAGGUUUCUCACCCUUUUCGUAUACCGAAAUCUAUGUUGGCUUUCGGCAGGCCCCUGCAUUUGCUCGGGCCUGCCAGAGGUUAUAAAGCCCUAGAACUCUCUGCUGUCUGAGUACUAUGCAAUAGUUAAAAG